GUGGAUUAGAUACCCCAGUAGUCCACGCCGUAAACGAUGAUGACUAGCUGUCUGGGCGCUUAGCGUUCAGGUGGCGCAGCUAACGCGUUAAGUCAUCCGCCUGGGGAGUACGGCCGCAAGGUUAAAACUCAAAGAAAUUGACGGGGGCCUGCACAAGCGGUGGAGCAUGUGGUUUAAUUCGAAGCAACGCGCAGAACCUUACCAGCGUUUGACAUGCCAGGACGGUUUCCAGAGAUGGAUUCCUUCCCUUACGGGACCUGGACACAGGUGCUGCACGGCCGUCGUCAACU
Molecule: ribosomal RNA, 290 nt
Filed under: uncultured bacterium
Lineage: Bacteria
Description: partial 16S ribosomal RNA
Rfam family: Bacterial small subunit ribosomal RNA
Source: RNAcentral